AGAGUUUGAUUAGGGCUCAGAUUGAACGCUGGCGGCAGGCUUAACACAUGCAAGUCGAGCGGCAGCGGAAAGAAGCUUGCUUCUUUGCCGGCGAGCGGCGGACGGGUGAGUAAUGUCUGGGGAUCUGCCCGAUGGAGGGGGAUAACUACUGGAAACGGUAGCUAAUACCGCAUAAUGUCGCAAGACCAAAGUGGGGGACCUUCGGGCCUCACACCAUCGGAUGAACCCAGAUGGGAUUAGCUAGUGGGUGGGGUAAUGGCUCACCUAGGCGACGAUCCCUAGCUGGUCUGAGAGGAUGACCAGCCACACUGGAACUGAGACACGGUCCAGACUCCUACGGGAGGCAGCAGUGGGGAAUAUUGCACAAUAGGGGAAACCCUGAUGCAGCCAUGCCGCGUGUGUGAAGAAGGCCUUCGGGUUGUAAAGCACUUUCAGCGGGGAGGAAGGCAAUGGCGUUAAUAGUGUCAUUGAUUGACGUUACCCGCAGAAGAAGCACCGGCUAACUCCGUGCCAGCAGCCGCGGUAAUACGGAGGGUGCGAGCGUUAAUCGGAAUUACUGGGCGUAAAGCGUACGCAGGCGGUCUGUUAAGUCAGAUGUGAAAUCCCCGGGCUUAACCUGGGAACUGCAUUUGAAACUGGCAGGCUAGAGUCUCGUAGAGGGGGGUAGAAUUCCAGGUGUAGCGGUGAAAUGCGUAGAGAUCUGGAGGAAUACCGGUGGCGAAGGCGGCCCCCUGGACGAAGACUGACGCUCAGGUACGAAAGCGUGGGGAGCAAACAGGAUUAGAUACCCUGGUAGUCCACGCUGUAAACGAUGUCGAUUUGAAGGUUGUGGUCUUGAGCCGUGGCUUUCGGAGCUAACGCGUUAAAUCGACCGCCUGGGGAGUACGGCCG
RNAcentral lists this ribosomal RNA (891 nucleotides) under uncultured bacterium. RNAcentral's name for it is "bacterial SSU rRNA". It matches the Rfam family "Bacterial small subunit ribosomal RNA", at positions 8 to 888 of the family's 1533-position model. The record is from RNAcentral.